Molecule: ribosomal RNA, 253 nt
Filed under: uncultured bacterium
Lineage: Bacteria
Description: partial 16S ribosomal RNA
Rfam family: Bacterial small subunit ribosomal RNA
Source: RNAcentral
UACGUAGGGCGCAAGCGUUAUCCGGAAUUAUUGGGCGUAAAGAGCUCGUAGGCGGCGUGUCGCGUCUGCCGUGAAAACCCGGAGCUCAACUCCGGGCCUGCAGUCGAUACGGGCGGACUCGAGUUCGGCAGGGGAGACUGGAAUUCCUGGUGUAGCGGUGAAAUGCGUAGAUAUCUGGAGGAAUACCGGUGGCGAAGGCGGCAUCCUGGACCGGCAUUGACGCUGAGGAGCGAAAGCCAGGGGAGCAAACGGG